UUAGCAUCUCAGCCUUUUUGGCUAAGAUCAAAUGUAGCACAUUUUUGGCACCAAGGGGUGUCAGGGAUGGCUCUGGCCUUCCCAUUCCCAGCCUGGUAUUGCAAUACUUCCAGGCCUAGUGACAGUUCC
Molecule: small nuclear RNA, 129 nt
Filed under: Alligator sinensis (Chinese alligator)
Lineage: Eukaryota; Metazoa; Chordata; Crocodylia; Alligatoridae
Description: U2 spliceosomal RNA
Rfam family: U2 spliceosomal RNA
About the family: U2 is a small nuclear RNA (snRNA) component of the spliceosome (involved in pre-mRNA splicing). Complementary binding between U2 snRNA (in an area lying towards the 5' end but 3' to hairpin I) and the branchpoint sequence (BPS) of the intron results the bulging out of an unpaired adenosine, on the BPS, which initiates a nucleophilic attack at the intronic 5' splice site, thus starting the first of two transesterification reactions that mediate splicing.
Source: Rfam by way of RNAcentral